AGUUGGUAGGGAAUGCAAUGAAUGGAAUCAUUUAAUGUGGCUUAUUUUAUGAUGCUACUUUUCAAGAUAGAUCAGUUGGUAGGGAAUGCAAUGACUCUCAGGCUACUCAUAUCCAUAUGGAAAAUGUAAAAGCAUGGAGAAGAAUCAAAACCCAUCUGCCGAAGAUACCAGUACCAAUCCGGACCUGUCAAGGUUGAGUUGCGGCUUUCUAAUUGUAGCGGCACAGAUUCAGAAUCUACAAACAAGCAGACAAAUGGUGGAAUGGAGGCAUUAAUUGUUGUCCAGUCUCCUAAAUGCGUGUUUCAAGUUAUCAUCAUGAGAAAAGAAUUUUGUUCACCAAUAAAGUUCAGUACUAAAGAUUUUUCUUUUGGGUUUUUGUUCUGCUUUCCAUUAUUUUCAGUAAUCUUGACUUGCUGUGAGUACUACAAUUGCAGUUACAGUAUGUAAUAAAGCAGGAAAUACAUCGUUUUUAACUUUUUUUUAAGUAUUUCUGUGUU
RNA transcript from Papaver somniferum (opium poppy), 497 nucleotides. RefSeq lists it as uncharacterized. The record is from RefSeq and is a predicted model, not a curated record. The transcript has 3 exons. NCBI's taxonomy places the organism in Eukaryota, Viridiplantae, Streptophyta, Magnoliopsida, Ranunculales, Papaveraceae.